GUGCUUCCACAGCCGCCCACCUGCCCAGGUCCACCCGCCGGCUUCAGCUGAGCCCGAGAUGCAAAAACUGAGGCUUGGUGAGGUUGAGAUGCUCGUCCCAGGUCACAUCACCAGGAAAUGGCAGAGCUGAGACUGGAACCCAGGUGUGUGCACCUCACUAUCCACGCUCCUCACCAGCCCUCCAUCCCCUGCAGCACAGGCCGCAGGUUCAAGUCUGGCUAUUCCACUGACCGUUAUGUGACUCUGGGCAAGACCUUUCAUCUCUUUGCAGCCUUGCUUUGUCUCUCCUCCGCUGUAAAAUGAAAAGAUGAUAGCUGGUGGCCUCUGAGGGCCCCUCCAGCUCGGAUGUUCUGAGAUUUCACUUCUGUCCGGAAAGCGUUGCUCUGACCAGCAGAACCAACGAAGCUGUGAAAAUUAAAGGCACAAACGGUGGGGUCACCCUCUGGGGGGCUGCUCUGGGGCAGCCCCUCCCCGCGCCACUCCUCUCAUGCCCAGACAGCCGGCCGCAGCCUGUGCCCUCCAGGAGGGCCGCCCUCCACUCUAGGAACAGCGGCAGAAUCUCUGGGGCUCAGGGCACGGCAGGCGCCUUCCUCUGGUGGCCUUUGAUGUCGGCCUCCAGGGAGACCUCAUGCAAGUUAAGGCCAGAGGAGUCAGACCCCAGAGUCCUGACAUGUAACUGGAAUCUCGAUCCUCGUCACACACUGGCUCUUUCUUGGAUUAACAGCCCAUGAGCAUCCACCCUCCUGAGUGCUGUCUGGGGAAGCAGUCCUCGCUGAGCCCUCGCCAAACGCUAGCUGGGGACGUAACCAGCCCCGUGCCGCAUGCCCUGCCUGUGUCCCCGCAUAGGGACCCAGCCACACCUCCCUCCUGCCUCCUCCCCAGCCCAGACCCGGCCCCAGACUGGCCUGGGGGAGUGGGGGCUCACUCGGGCAUCUGGCCUCUCCUUGAUGUAGGGGUAUCCUUGCCUUAGUGGGUGUGACCGUGGGGCUGAUUGAUGAAUAAGCUAGUGGCUGAGAGCGGGCCCUGUGUGCAAACCCCAGCUGUACCACUCACGCGGCCUCUCUGGGCCGCUGUUUCUCAGCUGUGACCGAGGGUAUAAUGGCCCCAACCCCGCCCUGGAUGUGAGGGUGAGAUGAGGAAAUGUGUGCAUGUGAAGAGCAGGUGCCCCCGACAGCUUGCUGCUGGGGGGUGGCCACACUGGGGGCUCCCUAGCAC
Bos taurus (domestic cattle) is the source of this 1215-nucleotide long non-coding RNA. The record is from Ensembl. NCBI's taxonomy places the organism in Eukaryota, Metazoa, Chordata, Mammalia, Artiodactyla, Bovidae.